AGCAUUCCCCUGUUCCCUGUGAGGGGUCAGGGCGGGUUCACCCACUGGCCUCUCGGGCCACUGGUGAAAUACCACUACUUUCAUCAUUUUUUCACUGACCUGAAGGGGGAAUGGUGCAAGGUCAAGGGGGCUCUCAAGCGCCCAUCUACAAGCUGGCAUGUGGACGAGACCAAGUCUGGGGACAGUGCCAGGUGGGGAGUUUGACUGGGGCAGUACACCUGUCAAUCAGUAACACAGUUGUCCUAAGGUGAGCACAGGGAGGACAGAAACCUCCCGUGGAGCAGAAGGGCAAAAGCUCGCUUGAUCUUGAUUUUCAGUACAAAUACAGACCAUGAAAGCAGGGCCUCACAAUCCUUCUGACCUUUUAGGUUUUAAGCGGGGAAUGUAAAAGUUAC
RNAcentral lists this non-coding RNA (395 nucleotides) under Rattus norvegicus (Norway rat). RNAcentral's name for it is "Eukaryotic large subunit ribosomal RNA". It matches the Rfam family "Eukaryotic large subunit ribosomal RNA", at positions 2474 to 2818 of the family's 3401-position model. The record is from Rfam by way of RNAcentral. Lineage: Eukaryota; Metazoa; Chordata; Mammalia; Rodentia; Muridae.